AGUUUUUAUUUUUAGAUGUUUAUUUGUAUUUGACAUCAUAUAAAAUACAUAGUUAUACCUUCAAUAUGCAAACAAUGAUAUGAGGCUUUCAACGGGAAUUUUCACAGGCCGAAAAAAUAGUAAACAUACUACUUAAGUAUAUAUACAAACAAUUGAUGACCAUACAUUUAAAUGUUAUAUGUGUAUUUCCUUUUUAUUCAUAUAUUGUUAACAUAAUGUCAAAUAUACACGUUUCAUAUUGAUUAAAAAAUAAUAACAUCUUACUUUGAUUUUGAUACAACAGUUAUCAUUAAUACGCAAUUUGUAACAAUUUGUUUGGCAAGUGCAUGAUGCAGAUGAAGUUUGUGUUUUCUACUAAAUAAAUUGUGUUUUCCAAAAGAAAUAAUACCUUUCCAACUAGCCCUGUAACAAAAAGUAUCUUAAUCCAUGUUCUAACAUGGACGUAUCUUUAAGAUAGAUAAGUAUUUGGAUUUGUUGAGAUAUACCUUAGACUGGACAAAAUUAAGUUCAUGCAUCGAUAUACACAAAAGAAAAAUCUUUGAGAUAAAUAUUUUAAAGAGGUAGAAUACAUCAAAUUAAAAAACCUCGAUAAUACUGGUAAUAAAAUAAAGGGUACCAAUUUUCUGCACCAAGUAGAUCAGGUGUAUUCUUGGAAGGUAAAAUAGCAUAAAACAAUCAGUCUAGAUCUUUAAUGAAAUGUGCAAAUUUAGAGAGAAUUAUAAUGCAUUUUUAAUAAUUCGUCUAUCUAACAAAAAUUGUGUGUUCUACUUUAUUUUCAUAACUUUUAAGAUUUUACGAAUACAGAUUGUUUUUACUUGAUUUAAAACAUAGAUUCGGAUUCAGAAAAUGUAACUUUUCUAAAAGAAUGUGUUAUAAAUUUAUUAUUUUGUUUCAAAACAAGAAAAUAAAGCCGGUAAACUAAUUUUUUUAUUAUUUUCUGAAAGCACAUUACACAUACUAUCUUCUCGUAUUUUAUAUUAAAAUUUUAUAGCUUUUGGUUUGUUUCUAUCACACAAAAGCCCCUUGAAUCAUACCUUUUCUGUUCAAAACAUGAUAUAAACUAAAUUUUUUCAAACAAUAAAAAGAUUCUAUCGAAUUUAAUUUUGUACCCCAAUCUACCGUAAAAAACCCUGACCAAAUUAAUAGUACACCAAUUUGAAAGGCAUUUGAACUUGAUAGACGAUAGACAUAUCCCCUCUGGGGACUUUGAAUGAUAUUAGAACUAUAUUCAACGAAUGCUCAUUUCUUUUCUGUUUUCACUUCUGUAAACAAUAAAAAAGAAGAUGUAGUAUGAUUUCUAACGAGACAUCUAUCACCAGAUUUAACUACUCAAUCUUUAAAAAACUUAAGCAAUAAGAUAAAUACAUAUUGAUGUAGGAAUUUUUAAUAUGAGACAGUAGUGGCAUCACUUUGCUUGAAAAUUGUCCUUUUUGUUCCCGAGAUUUUAUUUAGACUAGAAUAAUAUAAACAUGACUUGUCACUUAGUUUUCACUUUUGUUUAAUUACCCUUUAUCAAAAUUAUCUAGUAGUAACUAUUAAAACAUAUAAUUGAAGAGUUUCUAUUAUUGACGACUGCUAAUUAUAUGAUUCUGCUGACAAACAGUUUUUAGAAAUAUCAUCUUGCAGGUCAAUAAAAUUGAAAAUGGAAAUGGGGAAUGUGUCAAAGAGACAACAACCCGACCAUAGAAAAAAACAACAGCAGAAGGUCACCAAUAGGUCUUCAAUGUAGCGAGAAAUUCCCGCACCCGGAGGCGUCCUUCAGCUGGCCCCUAAACAAAUAUAUACUAGUUCAGUGAUAAUGAACGCCAUACUAAUUUCCAAACUGUACACAAGAAACUAAAAUUUAAAUAAUACAACACUAACAAAGACCAGAGGCUCCUGACUUGGGACAGGCGCAAAAAUGCGGCGGGGUUAAACAUGUUUGUGAGAUCUCAACCCUCCCCCUAUACCUCUAGCAAAUGUAGAAAAUUAAACGCAUAACAAUACGCAC
RNAcentral lists this long non-coding RNA (1990 nucleotides) under Mytilus galloprovincialis (Mediterranean mussel). Lineage: Eukaryota; Metazoa; Mollusca; Bivalvia; Mytilida; Mytilidae. The record is from RNAcentral.